Capsicum annuum is the source of this 841-nucleotide long non-coding RNA. RefSeq lists it as uncharacterized. The record is from RefSeq and is a predicted model, not a curated record. Lineage: Eukaryota; Viridiplantae; Streptophyta; Magnoliopsida; Solanales; Solanaceae. The transcript has 2 exons.
UUAAAAGAUAACAACUUAUUUUUACUUAACAUGAAAUUUAACAAAAUAAGAAUAAUUUUUAAAUUCUAUAAUCUUAAGUAAAAGAUAUACUAUCAAAUAUACUAAAAUAUUUCUUAAUCUCGUUGUCUUAGUCGUGUGGGAAAGUUGCAAUUAAAGAAUGGUUAAAAAGGAUUUUUUUUUCCAAUAGCCCAAAUAUAAAACACCAAAAAAAAAAAAAAAGAAGGAAACACUUGAAAACGAGAAAAACACUAUCGGAGAUAUGCUUGAUUAGGAAAUUGAAAUGCCAUUGGAGCACCACUAUUGAAGAAGACAACCGAGGAUGAUUGAUGAGCUAGCUUCUUGUCGCCAAAAUAUAGAAGAAACGCAAGUAAUCGUUGCCCCUAGCCACUGAUUUGACAUGAAAAAACAACUCAAAGAGAUUUCAUCCAAGACACUUACAAGUCUCACAAGUGCCAUGAAAUCAAUACCAAGGAAGAAUUCUUCAGCUCUUUGUUGGAUUUCAAGCCAAAUCUGCUUAUAUUAGAUUGAGCCUCGAGGCGAAGCUAAUACCACUGUUAAGAGAGUGGCUAUGAUGCAAGUUCAUGGUGUUCAAUUCGUUUAUGAAGCUGAUGAGCUGAGCUGGCAAUCAAGGAAUUAAGUAGGCAAGCAGUAAAAUAGCUAGGCAGUUACAGUUUGAAUUUUGCUAUUAGUGUAACUACUAACACUGUAGCAAUGAUAGUUAUUUCCAUUUUUAGUUAAGGUAGUUAGUAGUAAUUCCAUUCCAAUUUCAGUAUAUAAGCUGCAAUGUAAGAUACACAUACUUAUUACUGCAAUGUAAGAUACACAUACUUAUUACUGAUCA